Long non-coding RNA from Canis lupus familiaris (dog), 1451 nucleotides. RefSeq lists it as uncharacterized. The record is from RefSeq and is a predicted model, not a curated record. The transcript is spliced from 4 exons. Lineage: Eukaryota; Metazoa; Chordata; Mammalia; Carnivora; Canidae.
AGUAACAUAUGGCCUCAUCUUGUUUCCUUAACACAUUUAUUGUCAAGGUUGAAGUGGAAGCUUGUUGUUCUUCCCACUUAAGGGACCAUAAGGAAGCUUUGUUGAGACAAAUGUUAGAUAUUCUAUCCCUGAUCUGCUGUCAGUCCCAGUGAACAGCUCCUUUGUUAAUGUCCUCAGAGAAAACCUUGCAUGAUACGUGGGCAUGCUCAUCUCUUGCUCUAGAAAAUGAUAUUUCAGGUUGUUCCAUCUUUAUCUGCCCAAGGGCAACUGCAAGCAAUGAUGAGAAAUUCCCAAGAACAAAUGAUAUGGAAAGAGGCAAUAAGAAAAAAUUUAUUGAGUCUCUUCUGUAGACUGAAGUGCCUGGGGGACAACUCACAAGCCCGAAGGGUUGAGAAGAUGACUGCUUCCAGAAGUGGCAUCCAGUUUGCCUGGCAGACUCCCCAGCAAUAAGGUAUUACCCCUUUUUAGAUACCACCGAAAAAGGGGAAAGCCAUAUGAAUCCAGAGCUUCUCCUGAUGAUCGCACCUGCCCCAUGACAAGAUACCAGAACGACGAUGGUGGUGAUAGAAGAACUGUCAUCAGCAUUGCUGCCCUGGGGACAAAGUCAUCACAUACACACUAGUGCUUAUAUUUCUAUUUCAGUUGGCCAUGACAAGCUACCUAGUAAUAAUAGGAGAAAUAGUCUACUUAUCAUGAAUUAUGAGGAUGUCCUAUGAUUCCAUAACCUCUAAAUGGGGCUCUCUCUCUCUCUCUCUGUUGUUUUGUGACCAGAGUGAAGAAGUCAGUAGUGUGCUUAAUGAGUUUUGUGAGGACACGUACCUCCCUUGAACACGAGGACAAAAGCCUAGAAGGUUCCAAGGCUGCCAGGUGCUCACAGCCUGCAGGGAACAGCUGGUUCAGACCUAGUCCCCAUGUCUGCCAGCCUCCCAGACCUGCUGGCCUCGUGGAUUGACCAGUCAUGGGUCCAGCCUGGGGGUCCAGCCCGCUGAGCACCCAGCGAUGUGGUCUGAUCAGUGGUGUGCUGAGGGGAGAGGUCGUUCUCAUAUGGAGCUGCCAAAGGGGAGCCCUGGAGGCCGAAUGAGCCCUGGAGGCCGAAUGAUAACUCCCUGAGGAUUUAUUGCAUCAACAAGGACAGAAUGACAGCUCCAGUCCAAGCCCUGCCCCUUGGAGGAUGUGUGUCCUUGGGAAAGUCACUGUGAAUGGGAAUAAUAAUGCUCACUCUGGAGACAUCCUCCACCAUGGGCCUGGGAUGGGUCAAGUUUAUUCCUUUGUAAAUAAAUAUUUUUUGUGAACUCACAUACAAUGUGAUUCGUUAACCAUUUGUUCCUUAUAAUAAUGUACAAACAUGGUUAUAACAACCACAUUUGAUACAUCAGCAAUUUGGAAUCUUAAAACUUUUCAUUUGCUCAAAGUAAUGUAAGUAAUGAAGCCUUGAUUCAAACUCAACUCUA